AUGAAGCACGUCAGACGUUACUUAUGAGAAGAGGCAGAGGACCUUCGCCACCAGUGAAGAAGGGGUAACCAGGAGUGGAAGUGGAGAGUGGAGUGUUUUAUAUAUGCAAGUGGGGUGAAGAGAGAGAGACCCUCCUCUCUGUGGGGUCAGCCGAUGAGAGAAGAUGAAGAACCAAAUUACCAAUGCCCUCUCCGACUUCUUCUUUGAGUACGAGACCCCGCGCCAGGUGCUCGUGAGGAACAGGAGGGUGGGAGUGGUGUGCCGUAUCAUCCAGCUGGGGGUCCUGGCUUACAUCAUUGGGUGGGUGUUCAUCUACGAAAAAGGCUACCAGUCCACAGACGUAGCAGUGAGCUCCGUCUACACCAAAAUGAAAGGAGUGGGCUACACCAGCAUAAACGGAACUGAGAGAGUCUGGGAUGUGGCCGACUACGUCUUUCCUUCUCAGGGAGAUGCAUCUUUUGUGGUGAUGACAAACUACAUCAUAACUGAAGGUCAGAAGAUGGGAAAGUGUCCAGAGCUCCACGGAAAGCACAACUGCAGCUCAAACGCUGACUGUGAAGGAGGGAGUUUCAAACGUACGGGACAUGGGCAAAUGACUGGUGUAUGUGUGGAUGAGACCAAGACUUGUCAGGUUUUGGCAUGGUGCCCUGUCGAGGAUGAUCUCGUCAUACCUGAUCCUCCUAUGCUGAUGUCUGCAGAGAACUACACGCUGUUCAUCAAAAAUUCUGUUACUUUCCCCUUAUUUGGCGUUUCAAGGAGUAACCUGGUGGAGGGUAUUGAUGCUGGAUACAUCAGCAAAUGCCUUUAUCAUCCUGAAGAUGCUCCACUGUGUCCCAUAUUCAGACUGGGAGACAUAGUGAAACUGUCUGGCUUCAAUUUCGAAACAAUAGCCACAGUGGGAGGGGCUAUUGGUAUUGUGGUGGACUGGACAUGUAACUUUGAUGUGUCUGUAAAACACUGCAAACCAAAGUACACUUUCCACGGUCUGUACGGAAACCCCGCUGAGACGGACAAAGCCAGAGCUUCAGUGGGCUACAAUUUCAGGUAUGCUAAGCAUUAUAUGGAGGACAGAUAUCAGAAGAGAACUCUUAUGAAAGUGUUUGGGAUUAGGUUCGAUAUCAUUGUGCAAUCACUGGCAAGAAAGUUUGAUAUCAUCCCAACCUUAACAGCUAUAGGCUCUGGAGUGGGCAUCUUCGGAGUGGCAACUGUAGUAUGUGACUUGGUGCUGCUCUAUUUGCUACCAAAAAGAGCAUUUUACAAGAACAUGAAAUUCAAAUACACAGACACACAUGCACAGAAAGUUCCCACUGAAACAGGCAGAACAUUUUUUAUUUACAGCAGGACAGCGAAUGGCUUGGUUUAGAAACAAGCGACUGUUGCCCCUUUGACGCAAAUGCAAGACAAGUCCAAAGCACUGGCCAGACUGACGACCCUGACUCAGAGGCAUGUAGCACAGAGACUGAGGCAUCUAAAAAGUGACCUGGGAGCAAACUUUUAAGGACUUUGAAGGAUAACUGAACUGGGACCCUAAGAGACAACAAACAUGGACUUGCGAUUAGAAAAGGACACGUUCCAAAGACCUUGCUCCAUGUGCACUCUUAUUUAUUCAGCAGGAUCUUCUACCAACAAUAUCGUCCUUCUCUUACAACCACCCUGAAUUACUGUGACUUUCGCUGUUGUAUGUAGAGCUUAGAUGUAUGUGUACUUUUUCGGGUGUAGCUUGGUUUGCUUUUGUUCUCACUCUGGGUUUACCCUCCACAUCCUUCAUAUUUGUGCAGGUAAAAGAAAACUGUCGGCUACCUUAGUGUUUCUAUAUGUGCAGAAAUCAACCACAAAUCAUCCUUGAACUGUUUGUCUUCUUUCAAAGCCAAUUAUGCACACAUGCCGUGCAGAUGUGCCACUGUCGGAGUGAUUAAUCACCAUGUGCACCUUGUGAUUGAUAUUUCAAUAAAUGUGUACAUAGUA
This is an RNA transcript of Eleginops maclovinus (Patagonian blennie), 1965 nucleotides long. It is a transcript of the gene named purinergic receptor P2X, ligand-gated ion channel, 1, with no coding region annotated. Lineage: Eukaryota; Metazoa; Chordata; Actinopteri; Perciformes; Eleginopidae. The transcript has 14 exons. The record is from RefSeq and is a predicted model, not a curated record.